Molecule: ribosomal RNA, 427 nt
Filed under: uncultured Ramlibacter sp.
Lineage: Bacteria; Pseudomonadati; Pseudomonadota; Betaproteobacteria; Burkholderiales; Comamonadaceae
Description: bacterial SSU rRNA
Rfam family: Bacterial small subunit ribosomal RNA
Source: RNAcentral
UGGGGAAUUUUGGACAAUGGACGCAAGUCUGAUCCAGCCAUUCCGCGUGCAGGAUGAAGGCCCUCGGGUUGUAAACUGCUUUUGGACGGAACGAAAAGCGCUGAGUUAAUACCUCGGCGUCAUGACGGUACCGUCAGAAUAAGCACCGGCUAACUACGUGCCAGCAGCCGCGGUAAUACGUAGGGUGCAAGCGUUAAUCGGAAUUACUGGGCGUAAAGCGUGCGCAGGCGGUUAUGUAAGACAGGUGUGAAAUCCCAGGGCUUAACCUUGGAACUGCAUUUGUGACUGCAUAGCUAGAGUACGGUAGAGGGGGAUGGAAUUCCGCGUGUAGCAGUGAAAUGCGUAGAUAUGCGGAGGAACACCGAUGGCGAAGGCAAUCCCCUGGACCUGUACUGACGCUCAUGCACGAAAGCGUGGGGAGCAAACA